CCUACGGGAGGCAGCAGUGAGGAAUAUUGGUCAAUGGGCGGGAGCCUGAACCAGCCAAGUCGCGUGAGGGAAGACGGUCCUAUGGAUUGUAAACCUCUUUAGGCGGGGAGCAAUGCCGGGCACGCGUGCCCGGAGGGAGAGUACCCGCAGAAUAAGCAUCGGCUAACUCCGUGCCAGCCGCCGCGGUCAUACGGGGGAUGCGGGGGUUAUCCGGAUUUAUUGGGUUUUAAGUGUGCGUAGGCGGAUUUUUAAGUCAGCGGUAAAAUGUCCGGGCUCAACCCGGGCCGGCCGUUGAAACGGGGGAUCUUGAGUGGGCGAGAAGUAUGCGGAAUGCGUGGUGUAGCGGUGAAAUGCAUAGAUAUCACGCAGAACUCCGAUUGCGAAGGCAGCAUACCGGCGCCCGACUGACGCUGAGGCACGAAAGCGUGGGGAUCGAACAGGAUUAGAUACCCUAGUAGUC
RNAcentral lists this ribosomal RNA (460 nucleotides) under uncultured bacterium. RNAcentral describes it as "partial 16S ribosomal RNA". It matches the Rfam family "Bacterial small subunit ribosomal RNA", at positions 338 to 795 of the family's 1533-position model. The record is from RNAcentral.